GUUAAUUCUUGCCUCUCUCUGAUUUAAACUCUAGAUUAUUUGCAUUUUGCUCGUGUCCUUCGAGGUGUGUUAAAUUGUGCGUAUGGUUUUAUUUUUUGUACAGAAAUUUAUGUUUUAGGUCAUUUGUAUAGAAUUUAUAAUGGAGAAGUAUGUUAAUCUUUGUAUAUUGAAUUCAUUGAUCAUUUGUACUGAGAGCUCUUUCUCUUAAAUGUUAAUCUCUGUAUAUUGAAUUUAUUGAUCAUCUGUACUGCUGUAAUAGACUCACGAUUAUAACAAUUAAAGGUUCAAUACGAUAACUCUAAUAAUUUAUAGUUGAAACGAUAAAUUGUUUUGUGUCGAUCGGACAGAUUAUUACGUAAUGUCAACGUGAAUGUCUUCUUGUUCGUGUUUUUUAAUCAACCUUGGGUCCGUAUAGAAAUAUAUUAACCUGCUACGGCAAAGAAAUUAAGAACUAUUUAGAAAAAUAAAUAAUCGAUAUAUAAGGAUACUCUGCAUUCAUGAGGUGUUUAUUUUCUCUGCUAAUUGUAACUGUUUUUUUCUUUGGACAUUUUUUUUUUUAUCCUUUGGGAUAUUAAGGUCGACAUGAUGCCAUCCUGUUGAUACUCAGGAUUUUUCAUCGUUUCUGUUUUUGUUGCUUUGGUCUUCCUAAGCAUUCCAUUCCCAGGUGCUACUAGUCACCGAGUUCCUAAUAGGCAGUUGUUCUACAGCUGGCCUUGAGGAUAGCUUGUUUAUAAUAAUUAGAAUUACGUCAUGAGGGGGCGCCAUGUUGUGGAACUGUCCUCGACACACAAACGUACAGCACCGAGGGACCAUUUAAAUGCUUCCAGUAAACAAGAGAGUCCAGAGCGUUAUACUGUUUACCCUUCAUGGAAACGCUCCUUGCGGCAUGUAGUUGUAGCGACUCUUGCUUCAUUUUUACUUGGAUACCAUCUUGGUGUAAUUAAUGAAACAUUAGAGAGUAUUUCUUUAGACCUUGCCUUUAGUGGGAGCACAUUGGCCGAAGGUCUCGUAGUAAGUACAUCCUUAGGUGGCGCCUUUCUUGGAUCUCUAUUCAGCGGCGUGAUUGGAGAUGGACUAGGGCGUCGUAGAGCAUUGCAGCUAUGUGCAUUACCAAUGAUAAUUGGUGCAUCCAUGAGUGCAACCACAACAAAUCUCUGGGGAAUGCUUCUUGGGAGGUUAUUUGUUGGGAUGGGGAUGGGUCUUGGCCCAACUAUUGCAUCACUUUAUGUUUCUGAGGUAUCACCAGCUUAUGUAAGAGGAACUUUUGGGAGUCUUACUCAGAUUUCCUUAUGUCUCGGUCUUCUGGGAUCCCUAUUUAUGGGACUGAAAGCCAAGGGAAUAGUGGAUUGGUGGCGGACUUGUUUUUGGGUAUCUGUCAUUCCUGCUGCUUUACUUGCCCUUUUGAUGGAAUUUUCUGCAGAAAGUCCUCAUUGGCUUUUCAAGAGUGGAAGAACUGCUGAAGCUGAGGCUGAAUUUGAGAAGCUUUUGGGAGGAGUACAUGUUAAAUGUGCAUAUGCAGAAUUGUCGAAGUCUGAUAGAGUAGAUGACGCUGAUGCAGUGACAUUAUCGGAUUUACUCCAGGGCCGCUAUUUCAAAGUGGUUUUCAUCGGUUCAAUCCUUUUUGCUUUACAGCAGCUCUCUGGCAUUAAUGCUGUUUACUAUUUCUCUUCUACUGUCUUCAAAAGUUUUGGCAUACCUUCAGAUCGUGCAAAUAUUGGCAUAGGAGUCGCAAACCUUUUAGGGACAAUUGUUGCAAUGCUACUGAUGGAUAAACUUGGAAGAAGGGUGCUGCUUCUUGGCAGUUUUUCAGGCAUGGCAGUGUCCAUGGGCCUCCAAGUGGUAGGAGCAAGAUCAUUUCCAUCCAGCCCUGGAGCAUUCUAUCUUUCUGCCGGUGGCAUGUUACUGUUUGUCCUGACAUAUUCUCUUGGUGCGGGUCCUGUUCCUAGUCUCCUCCUAUCAGAAAUAUUUCCUGGUCAGAUUCGAGCAAAAGCAAUGGCAUUUUGCAUGUCAGUUCAUUGGGUGAUAAAUUUUUUUGUUGGUUUACUCUUCCUGCCGUUACUGGAGCAAUUAGGAGUCCAGAUCCUAUAUACAGUUUUCGGUACAUUUUGCUUCAUAGCAGUGAUUUUUGUGAAGAGGAAUGUAUUGGAAACAAAAGGAAAAUCACUUCAGGAAAUAGAAAUGGCACUUCUUCCAGUAGUGUAGAGGUAUUUGAUACAUGGAUCAAAUCAUCCUCUUCUUUGUUUCUCUCUGAAAAUGGGAGGAAACAGAUUCAUUCAAUAUUCCUAUCAUCAUCUUGCAUAUGUCCUUGUUCAAAUCGAGUGAUUACAAGAUCAUACAACCGCAUCAAAACUUGCAGCUUCUUAACUUUUGCCAAAUCGCUUUCUAGAAUGGUAUCGAUUUUCUUGAGGGCUGUCUUGUCUUUUUGACCUCAAUUCAGGUCAUUGAUUAUUUGUCUAUUUUCACUUUUUUUUUCUUUCUUUGCCUUGAUAUAAUGAAAAGAAAGUGCACAAAUGCCAUGGAUCACAGUUCAAAGUUUUCUAUUCAUUGAUUAUUUAUGUAACUUGACCUCUCUGAGCUUCAAAGCUGAUGAUGCCUAUGAGUACUCACAAUGCUGCAGGUUUAUAUAACGUAUGUGUCUUCUUUUUUUUCUUUUUUUCUUUUGUGUUCAACAAUUAAGAAGGAUUCCAAUA
RNA transcript from Cucurbita pepo subsp. pepo (vegetable marrow), 2690 nucleotides. It is a transcript of the gene named putative plastidic glucose transporter 3, with no coding region annotated. The record is from RefSeq and is a predicted model, not a curated record. NCBI's taxonomy places the organism in Eukaryota, Viridiplantae, Streptophyta, Magnoliopsida, Cucurbitales, Cucurbitaceae.